Long non-coding RNA from Monomorium pharaonis (pharaoh ant), 925 nucleotides. RefSeq lists it as uncharacterized. The transcript is spliced from 6 exons. The record is from RefSeq and is a predicted model, not a curated record. Lineage: Eukaryota; Metazoa; Arthropoda; Insecta; Hymenoptera; Formicidae.
CAACGCUUGAACUCGUGACUUCGUGCACUUCAAUUCUAGUCAAACGGACGCUUUCUCCAACCAGUGAAUUCGCUUUCUCCAACUUGCCAUCGCGAGAUGACCGAGUUACAAGGCCACACACCACUACAGGUCACUCAAGGAUAACACACCGACGUCAACGUCUACUCCUGCUUCCGCUAUCAUUCGGCGUUCUUUCGAUACCUCCUAUCAUCAGCCUAUAGUCGUUUUACGAAGAUGUACAACCAAAAGGAAGAAGAAGAAAAGAGAAAAAGAAGAUAUGUGUGUGUUCGAAGGAGCAAGGAAGAAAAAAUGCGUCUGUAGAGGAAGAAAACGAUUCCACGUCGAUCAAACGUUCUCCAGCCGAACAAUUACACGUCGCUGCCUUCCCGAGCGCGCAACAUUUUCGAAAGGAAAAGUGACAAAAACUUGGUUUGAGUGAAAAUCGUAGCACGAGUUCCACUCGCAUCGACCUGUGACUCCCGCCGAUAAUUUCCAGACAAACAAGGUAGUCGCGAGAUAUCGAACCUUCCAUGCGCGGAGGACCGGUCUUACGAAGGAGAAACAUCCCGAUCGGCGCCGGAAGCGGAAUAACAGCUUGCGCGCGCACAGUAGAGAGAUACUGCAAGACAAUAAAUAAAAGGUACACAGAUUCAUCUUUCCACGAAGUAUCACUUUGACGAAUGCUCGACCGAAAUGAUAUAUGCCUUGGCACGGGUAUCUCGUUACAGUUAUAAAAUCGUUAGGAUGACAUAACGAUGCAUAAAACUCACAUAAUAAUCACGUAUGAAUAUCUUGAUAUACAUAUAUAGUAUUCACACAAUGACUGCGGGAAUUAUAUCGCAUUUGAAUGAUACUAUAGAUUAUAGCUAUAGAUACAAAUGUAUCUACUUUCUUCACUUAUUAAAGAUUUUUUUUUUUUCGUUUU